GGGGGGGGCAAGCGUUGUUCGGAAUUACUGGGCGUAAAGGGCUCGUAGGCGGCCAACUAAGUCAGACGUGAAAUCCCUCGGCUCAACCGGGGAACUGCGUCUGAUACUGAUUGGCUUGAGUCCGGGAGAGGGAUGCGGAAUUCCAGGUGUAGCGGUGAAAUGCGUAGAUAUCUGGAGGAACACCGGUGGCGAAGGCGGCAUCCUGGACCGGCACUGACGCUGAGGAGCGAAAGCCAGGGGAGCAAACGGGAUUAGAUACCCCGGUAGUCCUGGCCCUAAACGAUGAAUGCUUGGUGUGGCGGGUAUCGAUCCCUGCCGUGCCGAAGCUAACGCAUUAAGCAUUCCGCCUGGGGAGUACGGUCGCAAGGCUGAA
This 373-nucleotide ribosomal RNA is filed under the name uncultured bacterium. RNAcentral describes it as "bacterial SSU rRNA". It matches the Rfam family "Bacterial small subunit ribosomal RNA", at positions 527 to 898 of the family's 1533-position model. The record is from RNAcentral.